AACGAACGCUGGCGGCAGGCCUAACACAUGCAAGUCGAGCGCCCCCUUUUAGAGGGCAGAAAUCAGAGAUCGGAAAUCAGAGAUCGGAAUUGAGCGGGCAGCGAUGCCGGCGCGCGUUCUGUAUUUUUGAUAUCUCAUUUCCGAUCUCUGCCUUCUGAGUGGGGGAGCGGCGGACGGGUGAGUAACGCGUGGAAUUUUCCNCAAGGUACGAACAACUCAGGGAAACUUGGGCUAAUACCGUAUGAUGCAGAGAUG
This 255-nucleotide ribosomal RNA is filed under the name uncultured bacterium. RNAcentral describes it as "partial 16S ribosomal RNA". It matches the Rfam family "Bacterial small subunit ribosomal RNA", at positions 29 to 186 of the family's 1533-position model. The record is from RNAcentral.